This is a small nucleolar RNA of Medicago truncatula (barrel medic), 119 nucleotides long. It matches the Rfam family "Small nucleolar RNA Z278". From Rfam's summary of the family: snoZ278 is a C/D box small nucleolar RNA. Its methylation guide targets have not been reported. The record is from Rfam. NCBI's taxonomy places the organism in Eukaryota, Viridiplantae, Streptophyta, Magnoliopsida, Fabales, Fabaceae.
GCCUAUGAUGAUAUAAUCCAAUUUGUUUGAGGUGUUGUGGAGCCAAGCCCCUGUUUACAGGGAUAACCUACUUGGUGAAGCUUCAUUCAUAUGACUUCAUUGGAUUUACUCUUCGAGUU